GCUCACCCGUUACCCUAGCAACCACCCGAAACGCAGCGCUUCCGGCAGGGGCAGCGAGGGGCGGGGUGGGAGCAGCCGGCCGCGGCGGCAGCUGCCCGAGGCGUUCCCGGGGCGCUCGAAGCCGCAUCGCGGGGCCCUUCUCCGUCGGCUCCGUCCCGCUGCCCUUCCCGGCCGCUCUCCCCCCUCGCCGCAGCCGGCGGUCCCGGAUUGCGGCCGUGCACGCUCAUUGGCUGGCGCGCCCGUCCUCCCCUCGUCUGAUAGGCUCGGCGUCCCGUCAGUCCGGCGCUCCGCCGUUGCCGGGGUGAGGGCGCGGGCGAUGGCCGCCGUGGAGCUGUUCUCCCACCCCGCGCUCCACACGCGCUACCGGGCCGGGCUCUGCUCCGCCGCCGCCCUGGCCCUGUUGCUCAUCACGGUGCUCACCUACGUGCCGCCGCUCCUAGUGGCCUACCGGAGCCACGGUUUCUGGCUGAAGCAGAGCUCGUACCGGGAGCAGCCCACCGUGCGGUUCCGGUACGAGGUGCUCUUCGUGGCCACCACCGGCCCCAGCCCGGGCAGCUUCUUGGCGUGGAGCACGUUCCCGGCGUUCAACCGGCUUCAGGAGGACCGGCUGCGAGUCCCGCUCCUGUCGGCUAGAGAAGAAGACAAAAAUCAAGAUGGCAAAAUGGAUCAGUUGCAUUUUAAAUUGGAACUUCCGCUACAACCUACAGAGCAUGUAGUUGGUGUUCAUCUGAUUCUACUCUUUUCCUACCAGCUUUAUAGAAUGUCAACACUUGUGAUGCAGAGCAUGGCUUUUCUUCAGUUUUUUUCUCCUGUGCCAGGGUCUCAGCUCUACAUGAAUGGAGACCUGAAAUUGAACCAGCGGCAGUUACUUAACCAUUGUGGACUGGAUACCAGAUACAACGUGUCUGUGGUCAAUGGCACAAGUCCUUUUGCGAGUGACUAUGACCUAAUGAACAUCAUUGCAGCAUAUCGGGAAAGAAAUGUGACAACCGUCUUUUCAGAUCCCAACCCUGUUUGGAUGACUGGAAGAGUGAUAGAUACACCAUUUAUCAUUAACGCCACUAUUCGUUACCCAGUGGAAGUUAUCUUAUAUCCUUUGAAAACUGCAUAAACUGUGACAUAACUGGGUUGCAUUAUUUGGGUCUUCACAUACAAGCCAAGUGAAAACUUUUUUCUUCUAGACUUGCUGCUAGGAUUUUCCUUUGUUAGCUAAGCAAAUGCUGUAGUUCUAUUUGCCCCUUCCUCCAGAUAGUUCUGCUUGCAUAACCACUUUUUGCGUUUCUCUACUGGGACCCUGUGGUGCUUUUCAGCCUUGCUUAACUGGCCUUUGAGGCAGUUUCUUUGCCAUUCACAGUGAAUAUCCUUAGUCUUGCUUUGCUCCUGCAGCACCUGCUGUCCCAAUCUGUCAUGGAUGCCACUAAGCAAAGCAUGAUACUAUAUUCUGUGACCUAAAGCAAAUCAUUAGAAAUCUGUAUGCAAGGUAAGCUCACCAAAUAAUAACCCCUCAGUGGAUGUGGCAGAUAUGUUGCAUGCACAGACAGAUGUGAUUUUUUUUCCCCACAAAAUAAUUCUUUGUUCAUUAUGUUCUUUAUUCAUUUUAUCAGACAAGAACAAGCCUGUGUUUAAAAGAACCUGUAUGGAGCACAUUUCUUACAAGAAUCAGGUGUUGACUACAACUCCAGUAUCACCAGUUCUGCCAGUGUCUCCAGUAUUGUCCUACAAACUGCACCAGUCCUGAGGAGAUGCCUAAGAACACUUUAAAGACAUGCAGUUCAAAAACAGUUACUUGCUUUUAUUCUCUAUACAGUUUUUUACUUUGGAAGAUCAGAACUUUGUAAGUAUGUUCCAAGUAUAUUCUGUUCAUGCUUCCUUUUUAAAAUACAUUUUCAUUCAUCGAUUUCUCUGGGAACACUGCUUUGGGACUGAAAAUUUUGAUAUUUUUGACAGUUAAAGAAGAACCUAGUUAUUUUUUUGGACUGGAACACGCUUCAAAAACCAGUAGAAAGCAAUGAGACUGCUUUUGCAUGAUCUUAAUUUUCCUAAACCUUGAAGACUGAAAAUAAUACAUUAACAGUAACAACAUAAGCCGUUUUUACUGUCUUGUAAAUUAAUUCACUGCUAAGUUAGAGUUCUGUCAAGAGCUAUUUGUACAUGCAUUUACAUGCACCAUGAAAGGAAAAAACAUAAGAAAUGUGAAAAAAUGUAUGGAUGAGUUGGUGUCAGAGCCACACUUCUGUAACUGUGGCUAUAUGUGGUCACUGGUUUAAUUAUUAAAUGGGAUGGUGGAUAAAUUCAAGGUUGAUGUGAGAAACUGGGUUGUGGGUGAUAGUGUCUGCAAGGUUUGCACAAUCAUUUACUAUUGGCAUUAUUCCUGUAGCACUAGACCAUUAAUUGUGAAUUUGGAAUGGUAAAACAGAGACGCCUGGUAUUUAUUUAAAGGAAAAUAAUAAAAAAAACCCUACCAGAGAAGCUUCAGAGUUCCAAAGCAAUUAAAUAAUUACUUUCAGAAGUUAAAUGAUAACCUAGAACAGAUAAAAAUGAAAUCAAUUACAAUCACCUGGUGAGUACUGAAAGAUUUUGUCCCUUAUUCUUGAUGGGGGUGGUAGGGAAGAUUAUUUAAUUCUAUUUUCUCUUUCUGUGCUUACUUUUUACAUCAGACAAGCUUAAAAGGAAAAACAACAAGAUUUCCAUUAUGUUUUCAGUUUUGUAGUUAAGAUUUAAUUCUAGCAAAGCAGUCUUAUGGCAGGAGAGAGUCUAAAACAAUUCUAGAUGCUAGUUAACAACAUUCUGAGUGUCUUUGGUUCUCUUGAACUCCUAAGACAUGGUGCAGCUAUGAAAUGUGAAAGAGCAACUUGUACAGCAGUACCCCAUCUUUAGGCUGUUGUCCUCUAGAAUUCAACAUCCCGGCAGCUUGAAGACCUGCCUAUUGCUUUUUCUGUUCUCCUCUCAAAACAGACAGCUUCUUUUUGAACUUCUCUUAUGGCUUAUUUUAAACUUUGUAGACUUGCAGCUUGCAUUUCUCCCGACUUUUACAUGCUGGACGGACUCCAGCCUAUUCUUCAAUGCAUGUGAAACAUUAAUGUGGGGAGCCACAUCUUGGUUAUUCAGCACACUUUUGCGUUUGUGAAACUUAUGUACUUACAUGUGAAUUGUAAAUUAUUGCAAAGAGCAUUUGCUGUACAUACAUAUAUGUAUUUUGGUUUGAAAUCUCCAGUUUGCUUUUUGAUCUUUGCAGUCUGUACCUGGCAGCCUAGGACUACUGAUAAUUGGCUUCGUACCGGAGUGCACAGAGUCAAAGCAUCCGCCUACUGCUUUUUAGUGUUUCUAGGCACUACACAGGAUGAACAAAGGGGCCUGUGCGCUUGUCUCCCCAACAUCUCAAGUUGAUGUACAUCUGGUCUGCUGUAGUCCCAGCUCUUCUCCCUUGCAGUGGCGAUGGUGCUUGUGUGACUGCAGGAGUUAAUUCAGGGAGUUCGUUAUGGUGAAGAAGAUAAUCGUUAACAAAUAUACUCACUUUUUCACACUAGUCAGUUCCCUGAAUGAACUUGGUAUGUGUCUGCAUGAGUGGGCAUAAGCAAGGGACAGAAAUCUCCUGAGAGACCAUAGAAACUCCAUUUUAAGGGUUUGAGCUGUUGUAGUCCCACAAAAAUGGAAUGUGUAACAGUCCUUCAAACUGAACAGAAGCCUUUUAAAGGUAGCAACUGGAACAUGAGAGAAGAUAAUGCCAGAAAACAACAAUAAUACCGGCAGACUCCAUUAGCCAUAUUUCACUUUUCUUUCCUAUUGUAUCCUUCCACAUUAAAUGAUGACAAAUGA
Molecule: RNA transcript, 3816 nt
Organism: Chroicocephalus ridibundus (black-headed gull)
Lineage: Eukaryota; Metazoa; Chordata; Aves; Charadriiformes; Laridae
Gene: TMEM231
Gene name: transmembrane protein 231
Exons: 7
Source: RefSeq, a predicted model, not a curated record